This 413-nucleotide unclassified non-coding RNA is filed under the name soil metagenome. RNAcentral describes it as "partial contains 5.8S ribosomal RNA, internal transcribed spacer 2, and large subunit ribosomal RNA". The stretch from base 1 to 120 matches the Rfam family "5.8S ribosomal RNA", at positions 35 to 154 of the family's 154-position model. The record is from RNAcentral.
GAUGAAGAACGUAGCGAAAUGCGAUAAGUAAUGUGAAUUGCAGAAUUCAGUGAAUCAUCGAAUCUUUGAACGCACCUUGCGCUCUUUGGUAUUCCGAAGAGCAUGCCUGUUUGAGUGUCAUGAAAAUAUCAACCUUGACUUGGGUUUUGUGCUCUAGCCUCGGCUUGGAAUUGGGUGCUUGCCGCUUUUACGAGCGGCUCACCUUAAAUGUAUUAGCUGGAUCUGUCUUUGAGACUUGGUUUGACUUGGCGUAAUAAGUAUUUCGCUAAGGACAUUCUUCGGAGUGGCCUCGUUUCUAGGACGCUUGUCCGCUUUCCAAUACAAGUUCCACCUCGUGGACAUGACUUUUUAUUAUCUGGCCUCAAAUCAGGUAGGACUACCCGCUGAACUUAAGCAUAUCAAUAAGCGGAGGA